Molecule: non-coding RNA, 27 nt
Filed under: Homo sapiens (human)
Lineage: Eukaryota; Metazoa; Chordata; Mammalia; Primates; Hominidae
Source: RNAcentral
UGUGGAAGGCUGCAGGUUUUCAUGUGU